Rhinolophus ferrumequinum (greater horseshoe bat) is the source of this 645-nucleotide non-coding RNA. The record is from the annotation of a RefSeq genome assembly. Lineage: Eukaryota; Metazoa; Chordata; Mammalia; Chiroptera; Rhinolophidae.
GCACAGACCUGAGUCCCCCAUAGGGGUCAGCACCAUGUGACACCAUGCAAAUCUUCCCAUCCCCCUCCGUGGAUUGAAAAGCCGAGCCCUGGCCUGGGGCAGUGACUGUGCCCCACCAUGGACACGCUCUGCUCCACUCUCCUGCUGCUGACCGUCCCUUCCUGGGUUCUGUCCCAGGUCACCCUGCAGGAGUCGGGUCCUGGGCUGGUGAGACCCACCCAGACCCUUACGCUGACCUGCUCCUUCUCUGGGUUCUCACUGAGCACUAGUGGCAUGGGUGUGGCCUGGGUCCGUCAGCCCCCCGGGAAGGCCCUGGAGUGGCUCGCAACCAUUUGGUGGGAUGAUGAUAAGUAUUAUAGCCCAUCUCUGAAGAGCCGGCUCUCGAUCUCCAAGGACACUUCCAGAAACCAGGUGGUCCUAACAAUGACCAGCAUGGACCCUGCAGACACAACCACGUAUUUCUGUGCACGGAGGCACAGAGACACAGCCCAGGGCACUCUUGUACAAGAACCCAGGCUGGGCCUCAGCUGGGCCCCCAAGUCUGCAGCACAGGAACGUGUGGCACAUGGCAUUUCCUGCCAGGCUCUGGGGUUCCUCCCCACCCACAGCCUCGGAUCCCCGUCUUCCUAUCUCUUCUCUCCUUAG